AUUGAACGCUGGCGGCAUGCCUUACACAUGCAAGUCGAACGGCAGCAUGGGUGCUUGCACCUGAUGGCGAGUGGCGAACGGGUGAGUAAUGCAUCGGAACGUACCCGGAAGUGGGGGAUAACGUAGCGAAAGUUACGCUAAUACCGCAUAUUCUGUGAGCAGGAAAGCGGGGGAUCGCAAGACCUCGCGCUUCCGGAGCGGCCGAUGUCGGAUUAGCUAGUUGGCGGGGUAAAGGCCCACCAAGGCGACGAUCCGUAGCGGGUCUGAGAGGAUGAUCCGCCACACUGGGACUGAGACACGGCCCAGACUCCUACGGGAGGCAGCAGUGGGGAAUUUUGGACAAUGGGGGCAACCCUGAUCCGGCCAUGCCGCGUGAGUGAAGAAGGCCUUCGGGUUGUAAAGCUCUUUCGGCCGGGAAGAAAUCGCAUCUCCUAAUACGGGGUGUGGAUGACGGUACCGGAAUAAGAAGCACCGGCUAACUACGUGCCAGCAGCCGCGGUAA
RNAcentral lists this ribosomal RNA (502 nucleotides) under uncultured bacterium. Its description in RNAcentral is "partial 16S ribosomal RNA". It matches the Rfam family "Bacterial small subunit ribosomal RNA", at positions 29 to 523 of the family's 1533-position model. The record is from RNAcentral.